GGUGGGAAAAGGCAGGCCCCUUGCACAUCCGGGUCCUCUCUCUCAGCUCGGCACGUGCCCACACACAGCCCACCCCCCUGUCCCCACAGCAGACCCGCUUUCUCUGGUGUGUCAGGCUUCCCAGGCACAGGGCCCCUUUCCAUAAGCGGACGAGCCCUGGCCUGAGUGCUGGGGCGAGCCGCACUCUCGCUGCUGGGCCCAGCGUGCCUUCCCCGGGCAGCUCUGGCCUGCGUGCCCGGGGCUUCCUGCAGAGAGUCUCCGGGAAGUGGCGUCCAGCUCCAAGGUUGAUUCUCCCCUGGAGGCACCCUGACCUCUGCGCCCUUCUCACCUGAGUGGGAUACUUCUACCAGUUUACUCACACCUUGGGGGACUGGAGGGCAGAUUCCAGAAAAAGGAGGUUGGGACCCCCAAACCAACAUUGCCUCCUUCACCCCCUGGCCCAGCACAGCUCGACUUGCUUACAGCCACACACAGCAAGAGGGGACUUCACCGGCCCUGCACUCCCAGGCUCUACGAGACGUUGCCCAUUGGACAAAGGGAAGGCCCCACAUCUACACCUCAUGUUUUUAACACCGACUGAGCAUCUUCUACGUGGCGAUCACAGGGCCAGGCAUCAGGAAUCAAGACAGAUCUUCGUCUAGAGACACUUGAGGCUGUCGUGGUGGCGGUGAUGAUCUAAGAGACCACAGGUGGGGCUGUGACCGGGACGGGAAGAGGAGGCCCUCCCCUGAGGGUCUGAAAAUCCUUCUCGUGAAGGGUGUGUCCGUCAAGAAGCAGAUGUGAAGGCAGCAGGGGGAGUUCCAGCCAUACCACCCGCAGUGGCCCACGGGAAAAUGGGGAGGUAAGCUCACCUAUUCAGACCACGAAAGCACGGGCAGAAAGCUUCCCCUUAAUCUGUGGUCCUUAAACUUGAAUGUGAAAUCAGAAUCACCUGGAGACUUAUUAAACAGAUGGCUGGUUAGCUUCCGGUUCAGUGGCCCCGGCUUCGCUGUACUAACAAGUUCCAAUGAUGCCGAUGAAGCCCCUGGCCAGGGACUCGUGUGCUGGGAACCACGGCUCCAGACCGAUCACAUAAGACAAUCUGGACCAUGGAAGUGAUGAGGGCAUGAGACCAAUUCCAUU
This is a long non-coding RNA of Aethalodelphis obliquidens (Pacific white-sided dolphin), 1122 nucleotides long. RefSeq lists it as uncharacterized. NCBI's taxonomy places the organism in Eukaryota, Metazoa, Chordata, Mammalia, Artiodactyla, Delphinidae. The record is from RefSeq and is a predicted model, not a curated record. The transcript is spliced from 3 exons.